This 505-nucleotide ribosomal RNA is filed under the name uncultured bacterium. Its description in RNAcentral is "partial 16S ribosomal RNA". It matches the Rfam family "Bacterial small subunit ribosomal RNA", at positions 28 to 507 of the family's 1533-position model. The record is from RNAcentral.
GACGAACGCUGGCGGCGUGCCUAAUACAUGCAAGUAGAACGCACAGUUUAUACCGUAGCUUGCUACACCAUAGACUGUGAGUUGCGAACGGGUGAGUAACGCGUAGGUAACCUGCCUGGUAGCGGGGGAUAACUAUUGGAAACGAUAGCUAAUACCGCAUAAUAUUGAUUAUUGCAUGAUAAUUAAUUGAACGGUGCAAUUGCACCACUACCAGAUGGACCUGCGUUGUAUUAGCUAGUAGGUGAGGUAACGGCUCACCUAGGCGACGAUACAUAGCCGACCUGAGAGGGUGAUCGGCCACACUGGGACUGAGACACGGCCCAGACUCCUACGGGAGGCAGCAGUAGGGAAUCUUCGGCAAUGGACGAAAGUCUGACCGAGCAACGCCGCGUGAGUGAAGAAGGUUUUCGGAUCGUAAAGCUCUGUUGUAAGAGAAGAACGGGUGUGAGAGUGGAAAGUUCACACUGUGACGGUAUCUUACCAGAAAGGGACGGCUAACUACGUG